AGGAACGAGCCCAUUGGCCAAUGUCCAGUGCGACAUUUCACCUGGAACCAGACUGGGAAGUGUGGCUUGUCCUAGGGAAGUGUGAGGUUAGCUUGGCAUCGCUGGGGCAGGUAAAGGAAUGCCCUCUGAAAACGCCGCAGGUAGCAAAGCCCAGUGAACCGUCCUUAAUUUCACUUCUUUAAAAGCGAAAAUAAGAUGGAAUUCAGCCUUUUCCGCCUUAGCAGGGCCCUUGAAGAAUUUGCUGGUUUUAAGACGUGAAAUGUUCCCUUAAGUCACUUUCUAGUAAUGGUCCCUUUGGACUCCCAAUAAUGAGAGAUGGCUCUAUUCUGCAGGAGGUUAAACCAAGAUUAGAGACGAAAAGUAACUCAUCAAAAGUCCAACACUUACUCAGAGGUUAAGCCCGGGAGAUUCUAAUUGCCCAUCAAAGACUGUUAACGUAAUAACGGACUUUCCAAUGUCUGAACCCAGUGAAAUCUAUUUGUGUUCCAUGUUGUGGGCCUGGGAACCACUAUGGCUCUUCCUCUCCGCCCAGUGACUCAGGGACCCAGGGCUUUCAGACAGGUGGCUUCACUGAGUGCCCUGGAGGCCUGCUGACCCUCCACAUUCAGCUGACAAUGGCAUGCAGGACCAACAGACAGGCAUAUCAGGAAGGCACGGGAGGAGCUAUUCACAGCUGGUCCCACCUACUGCCAAUCCGGAACCACAAGGCGAGAGAGGCUCACAAAUGCAGAACGGUGUGAACACCAUGCCUCUCGAAACCCGGGACCGCAUGCUCACUCUCUGUCCCCAUAUCUGUGCCGCCAACUCCGUCCACCUUUUUCAGGAAGAAUACCCAGAGAGGAAAACAAAAAGUACCUCAUAUCAACCAACAGAGCACUUCAAAGGUCUAUGAAAAAAAGACACUGUUCAUUUAUUUCUAAAGAAAGUCUACUUGCUGUCCAGGCUCACUUUCUUCCUUCCCUUUCUUCUAAAAAAAAAAAAAAAAAAAAAAAAAAAAAAAAAAAAAGGAUACCACAUCAUUCUGGAGCCACCAAGGGGGAGCAGGUCCACAGCCAGCCGUCCCCUCACUGGUGAUCACCACGAGCUAGGGACAGAAUAGAAAAGGCUGGAAACUGCGGACUCUGGAAAGGAAGCAGCCACAGGCAGACUGGCGGGAAGUCAGAACCUGACAAAUGCCCUAGCUGGUUUGGCUUAGUGGAUAGAGUGUCGACCUGCGGGCUGGGGAGUCCCUGGUCCAUUCUGGUCAGGGACACAUGCCCGGGUUGCGGGCUCGAUCCCCAUUGUGGGGCGUGCAGGAGGUAGCCGAUCUAUGAUUCUCUCUCAUCAUUGAUGUUUCUAUCUCUCUCCCUCUCCCUUCCUUUCUGAAAUCAAUAAAAAUAUAUAGAACCUGACAAAUGAGCAGCCUGGAGGUGAGCUGAUUGGUUUUCCCUCCUGAUCACAGCAGGACUGGAAUGACACAGAGAGGACUGGACAAAGGGCUGUCGGAGCCAGACUGGGGCACUGCCCGGGAACAUUCCCUCUUCUCUCCUGGCCCUGCACCUACCCUGAAGCUGCAACCAGAACAGGAAUUAAGCUCCUAAAAUGCCACGGAAAACUGGUUUCUGGCGAGGACCCACAGGGCCCAUUUUCCACAGUUUUGGGCGAAUCCUGAUUAUUUUUUCUCUUUUUUUUACUCUUUCCACUUUGCCCUGAUAACCACCCAGUUAUGUGAAGCUUCAACACAGCACAUGAGGGGAGAGGUAUCUCAGAUUCUGAGAGAAACCGGAACUUCUAACCUGAGGACCGGGGAAAGUGGCAGAGACUCAGGAGAAGAGGCACCUAUGGUGAGCUGGGCCUGCAGGGAGCACGCCCCGGACACCAGCGUGGGCUCUGUGCCACCUGGGCCGAGGUCACCCCCACAGAUGCUGAGACAGAACUGCAGUCUGAACUUACUAAUAAUGUUCUCACAGACGUAAACAGUGGUCUGACAACCUCAGCCUUUCAGUGCUGGGAAGACUGACUAUGAAACCCUGUCCAGUAAAGGCAGCACAUCAUCGCUAGCUUUAUACGAAGUUUGGAAGGAGAUAACAAAUUUGAACAGGCAGAGGUCAAGUGGAAGAAAGCCAGCGACCCGGAGUGUUUGCAGACCUGCCAUGCUCUGGCUUUUAGUUCCAAGAACAAGUUUAUUUCUUCAAAUAAAUCUAUUAUUUUUUUGCA
Myotis daubentonii (Daubenton's bat) is the source of this 2196-nucleotide long non-coding RNA. RefSeq lists it as uncharacterized. The record is from RefSeq and is a predicted model, not a curated record. Lineage: Eukaryota; Metazoa; Chordata; Mammalia; Chiroptera; Vespertilionidae.